Molecule: long non-coding RNA, 1401 nt
Organism: Ixodes scapularis (black-legged tick)
Lineage: Eukaryota; Metazoa; Arthropoda; Arachnida; Ixodida; Ixodidae
Exons: 2
Source: RefSeq, a predicted model, not a curated record
CGAGCGCGAGUGUGUGCGUGUGCGAGCUGGUCGGGGGCGGCUGGUGCGGCGACGGCGGCAACGGCGGUGCGAGUCGCAUUGAACCGCGAUGAUCGUGCUGUGGGAGAUUGGAAAAUCUCCAUGCGUGCUAUGUUUGGCUAGGCAGACGAUGAACGAAUAGAGCCGGGUAUGAACGUAUGGCACAAGAUCUAACCAGGUAUGGGCACCGAUCCGAAUCGGUCGUAGUACAUGUCAAACAUCGCGUGGAUAUCUCGCAUGAAAGUUUUGCAUUCUCUCUGCACUCGACCUGCGGAAUGUUCAUUGCUCUUAAGGAUAGGUACGCAGGGCAUAUGGAGUGUCUGCGAUUGGAAGCCGAGAAUGAAUGCGUGAGAGGUUUUGGUGCUUUCGCGUGACUAAGGCUCGAGGAUACGGUUGAUCACGUCAGACGUUCCCGGCCGAUUUUCUUUUACGUCCGACCCAUAUUAGGUUGCUAUAGGUUGCCGUGCCCGUGGGGAACGGCACUGCUACCGUAAGUUCGCGCUGUGAUUUGUAAGCAUGGUCCUCGGAGUCCUGAGCCCUCGGCGCACACCAGGCGCCGUCUUCAUAUAUAAGGUCUCUACCGCGCAUACGUCCGACGUACCUUUGAAAAAAUCGGCCGAGUAUGUCCAACGUAUAUAAGGAAUGCCUUCCGGGUACGUCCAAACUACCUUUAGUCACAGCGUUAAUUCUCUGCUUGCAAGGCGCCGGUAGUCGUCUGUAGGUGUCAACACGGCUGAGAAUAGUUGAUGGAAACCAAUGUCGUUGGUCAAAGUUCUCAAGACAGUGCUUACUCGCUCGCGUCGAAGCUUGUGAACGGUUACACCUGAAACCACUUUAUGUCUCUUUUUUUCGGAUACAGCUUUUUCCGGGAUACCAGCAAGCGCUACAGCUGUUGCGCCGUCUUGUUACAGAAGGACUGGGCAUCCGCAGACACAAGUGCAGUCCUUCAACCACUGCUGGUGUCAAGUGCAGGAAAAUAACAAGGGGCUCACAGAUUUUUGUUCUCUGGUACAGAGCAGCCGAGACAGCAUAAUGCUGGAUUGUAACUCUGUUGUUACAGUGUCUUUCACCAAGCACAGCUGUUCCGGGGACGGCCACGUGCUGUCUUUUUGCCUGUUUGCUACGGUCGACACGGUGGAGGCAGGUCGUGACAUUGCACGGACGGCUGGACACCGAAGCGACGCAGGCUGACCAUCAACCUUCUCAAGGGUGACCCAUCUUCAGCCUCCUGAGUACGCUGAAGGCAUCAUACUCACCUAGCCAUGCCUGGAGGAGUUCUGGAUGUCUCAGUGGAAAUCUGCGGGAGACAACGAGGUCGGACUGUCAAAACACCGAAACAAUGCUGUCUUUCAAUAAAGCAAAUACAUAUUUGUGCAUUUCUAA